GAUGAGCGGCAGUGACGUCAACGUACUCGAUCGUACCACAGCACGACUUGUACCUGUGGAGAGCCCAGUCACAAUCUGCGGCUGUCCACCAGAGUGUUUGAGGGUCAGACCAGGAAAGGUUGUUGCUGUGGUCACAAUGAAUGGACGUUACAAUCUCAGCAUGCCAGAGCUGAGGUGUGAGACAUGUGAAGCUUCUUGGACUGCUGGAGUAGAUGACCUAAAUCUAAGUGAUUACUGGCCCUCUACCCUUCACUUUUCUACUUUGUACGCAACAGAUGCCUUCUUCACAUUUGAAGAAAUGAAGAUGGCAUCACCCGGACUCUCCUGCAAAGCAUUUUUAAAAAUGCUUA
This is a long non-coding RNA of Maylandia zebra (zebra mbuna), 350 nucleotides long. RefSeq lists it as uncharacterized. NCBI's taxonomy places the organism in Eukaryota, Metazoa, Chordata, Actinopteri, Cichliformes, Cichlidae. The record is from RefSeq and is a predicted model, not a curated record.